UAAUCGCGCAUCAGCCAUGGCGCGGUGAAUACGUUCCCGGGCCUUGUACACACCGCCCGUCACACCAUGAGAGUUUGUAACACCCAAGGCCGGUGGGGUAACCUUUUGGAGCCAGCCGUCUAAGGUGGGACAGAUGAUUGGGGUGAAGUCGUAACAAGGUACC
Molecule: ribosomal RNA, 163 nt
Filed under: uncultured bacterium
Lineage: Bacteria
Description: partial 16S ribosomal RNA
Rfam family: Bacterial small subunit ribosomal RNA
Source: RNAcentral